CAGUAGCCGCGGUAAUACAGAGGGUGCGAGCGUUAAUCGGAUUUACUGGGCGUAAAGCGUGCGUAGGCGGCUAAUUGAGUCGGAUGUGAAAUCCCCGAGCUUAACUUGGGAAUUGCAUUCGAUACUGGUUAGCUAGAGUGUGGGAGAGGAUGGUAGAAUUCCAGGUGUAGCGGUGAAAUGCGUAGAGAUCUGGAGGAAUACCGAUGGCGAAGGCAGCCAUCUGGCCUAAUACUGACGCUGAGGUACGAAAGCAUGGGGAGCAAACAGGAUUAGAUACCCCGGUAGUCCCUGUCUCUUAUAA
This 301-nucleotide ribosomal RNA is filed under the name uncultured bacterium. RNAcentral describes it as "partial 16S ribosomal RNA". It matches the Rfam family "Bacterial small subunit ribosomal RNA", at positions 509 to 809 of the family's 1533-position model. The record is from RNAcentral.